RNAcentral lists this long non-coding RNA (311 nucleotides) under Solanum tuberosum (potato). RNAcentral describes it as "long non-coding RNA (STUB_LNC008018)". The record is from RNAcentral. Lineage: Eukaryota; Viridiplantae; Streptophyta; Magnoliopsida; Solanales; Solanaceae.
UCUAAGGUUCUAAGGCUUGAGGAAAACGAAAUUACUAAAGGAAGGGUGAAAAUAUAUAGUCAAACAAGUGAUGUUUAUCCCUUGGGCAGCUGUCCUUCAAAGGUGCUGCCCAAAAAUUUGUGUGCUGCCCAAAAUGCAUACAUAUACACCUAUAUAUAUAUAUCCCUCAUCUCAUUUAAAGUUAUACAUAAUUCCAAUUAGAAUAUUACCUAAACACCCCAUCACAAUCCCUUAAAUUACGAUCACAAUUUAUGUUAAGCAAGUUAGCAAUUAUCACAACAUGAUUACCUUUACUUCAUUAGAUUCUCAUU